CUAAAUGCUUUUCUAAAAGCAACAAAACAAAAAAAACAAGAAAGCU
Molecule: non-coding RNA, 46 nt
Organism: Anopheles arabiensis
Lineage: Eukaryota; Metazoa; Arthropoda; Insecta; Diptera; Culicidae
Source: Rfam